Molecule: ribosomal RNA, 271 nt
Filed under: uncultured bacterium
Lineage: Bacteria
Description: partial 16S ribosomal RNA
Rfam family: Bacterial small subunit ribosomal RNA
Source: RNAcentral
UACAGAGAGUGCGAACGUUGUUCGGAAUUACUGGGCUUAAAGCGCACGUAGGCGGCAUCGUAAGUGUCCGGUGAAAUCCCACGGCUCACCCGUGGAACUGCCUGGCAGACUGCGAUGCUCGAGUAUGGUAGGGGAGAGCGGAACUCCUGGUGGAGCGGUGAAAUGCGUAGAUAUCAGGAGGAACACCGGUGGCGAAGGCGGCUCUCUGGUCCAUGUCUGACGCUGAGGUGCGAAAGCUAGGGGAGCAAACGGGAUUAGAUACCCGUGUAGU